RNAcentral lists this ribosomal RNA (449 nucleotides) under uncultured bacterium. Its description in RNAcentral is "partial 16S ribosomal RNA". It matches the Rfam family "Bacterial small subunit ribosomal RNA", at positions 29 to 523 of the family's 1533-position model. The record is from RNAcentral.
AACGAACGCUGGCGGCAUGCCUAACACAUGCAAGUCGAACGAGAUCUUCGGGUCUAGUGGCGCACGGGUGCGUAACGCGUGGGAAUCUGCCCUUCGGUUCGGAAUAACUCAGGGAAGCUUGAGCUAAUACCGGAUGAUGUCUUCGGACCAAAGAUUUAUCGCCGAGGGAUGAGCCCGCGUAGGAUUAGGUAGUUGGUGGGGUAAUGGCCCACCAAGCCGACGAUCCUUAGCUGGUCUGAGAGGAUGAUCAGCCACACUGGGACUGAGACACGGCCCAGACUCCUACGGGAGGCAGCAGUGGGGAAUAUUGGACAAUGGGCGAAAGCCUGAUCCAGCAAUGCCGCGUGAGUGAUGAAGGCCUUAGGGUUGUAAAGCUCUUUUACCAGGGAUGAUAAUGACAGUACCUGGAGAAUAAGCUCCGGCUAACUCCGUGCCAGCCGCCGCGGUAA